This 253-nucleotide ribosomal RNA is filed under the name uncultured bacterium. Its description in RNAcentral is "partial 16S ribosomal RNA". It matches the Rfam family "Bacterial small subunit ribosomal RNA", at positions 524 to 776 of the family's 1533-position model. The record is from RNAcentral.
UACGUAGGUGACAAGCGUUGUCCGGAUUUACUGGGCGUAAAGAGCGCGCAGGCGGUCGUUCAAGUCGAGUGUGAAAGCCCCCGGCUCAACUGGGGAGGGUCAUUCGAUACUGAUCGACUCGAAGGCAGGAGAGGGUAGUGGAAUUCCCGGUGUAGUGGUGAAAUGCGUAGAUAUCGGGGGGAACACCAGUGGCGAAGGCGACUACCUGGCCUGUUCUUGACGCUGAGGCGCGAAAGCUAGGGGAGCAAACGGG